Pogoniulus pusillus (Red-fronted tinkerbird) is the source of this 1025-nucleotide long non-coding RNA. RefSeq lists it as uncharacterized. The record is from RefSeq and is a predicted model, not a curated record. The transcript has 3 exons. NCBI's taxonomy places the organism in Eukaryota, Metazoa, Chordata, Aves, Piciformes, Lybiidae.
UGAUGUAGGACCAUGCAUGACACUCAUUCAUUUCGCUGAUGUGGCAGACGAUGGGUCCUGGGUAGUUUUUUUUGAUCACUAAUCAGAAUCAUUAAGGAUCUGAGGAGAUGCUUGCUUCAGCCCUUUGCCCUUCGGAAGAAGAGAAACACGGUUGUGACUUCUGCUGUGACAUGAGGCCAUCUGAUACUUGCGAACAUCAUAGAGAGGAAAAGGGCUUGGCUUUGUUGUUUGGAAAGGUGGCAUAAAAAGGAUGCACAAGUUGUGUUGAUGUCUUGGGGCUAGCUGGAGCCAUAUCAGGAGGAUGCUGGAACCAUUUGUAGGUGGCAAGGACAUGUGUGGUGAAAGCCACAACAGAAGAUCCUCUCAUCUCGGCACAAUACCAGGAUGUUGUGGUAUUGCAGCUACUGAAGUGUGGUUCAAGCACUGUAAAAUAAAGCCCUUCCAGAUAUCACAGAUCAUUCUCCUUUUGAAAGUCCUUCAUUGUUCCAGUCUUCCCUCUCCAACCAGCCUCAAACACCUUAUCAUCACGUGAAACUCAGCACUCUCCUCAUGCACACCGAUAUUCUAACCCAACAUCUUUUUCAUUUGAAUUUGGCAGUGUGAAACGUGUACACCAGAAAUUUAACUGUUGCCACCUGUUGUUUUCUCUAUAGUUACCAGUAAGCAAACCUGCUGUAAGUAUUUGUAUCUCCACUUUGGAAGCCAAAGAGACAUUGAUAGCUCUUGAGCUGAUCAUCUCUUGGUAUGAUAUGUAAGUGACCUCACUGGGGUACGAACCUUGUACUUGCCUCAUCUUUCUACUGUUUCUACUCAUCUUUCUACUGUCUCUACUGAGCAUUUGAGUUGUAGCUGUGACAUUUGGGAUAUUGCAAUGUUGUCAGAACCACAUGGAGACAUCUGAAACCUGUCCUAGUCCCAGAUUUGGAAACAGUGUAAUUUCCUAGAGUUAGCUGCUACGGCUGUUUCUGAAAAUGUUUAAAGUCUGUGCGUACCUGAAUAAACUUUCUUUAAAGGAUCUCUCUUAA